GGGGCGUAAAGAGCUCGUAGGUGGUUCGUUACGUCGGAUGUGAAAAUCUGGGGCUCAACCCCAGACCUGCAUUCGAUACGGGCGAUCUAGAGUGUGGUAGGGGAGACUGGAAUUCCUGGUGUAGCGGUGGAAUGCGCAGAUAUCAGGAGGAACACCAAUGGCGAAGGCAGGUCUCUGGGCCAUUACUGACACUGAGGAGCGAAAGCGUGGGGAGCGAACAGGAUUAGAUACCCUGGUAGUCCACGCCGUAAACGGUGGGCACUAGUUGUGGGAACCUUCCACGGUUUCUGCGACGCAGCUAACGCAUUAAGUGCCCCGCCUGGGGAGUACGAUCGCAAGAUUAAAACUCAAAGGAAUUGACGGGGCCCCGCACAAGCAGCGGAGCAUGCGGCUUAAUUCGACGCAACGCGAAGAACCUUACCAAGGCUUGACAUAUACCGGAAUAUGGCAGAGAUGUCAUAGCUGUAAAAGGUCGGUAUACAGGUGGUGCAUGGUUGUCGUCAGCUCGUGUCGUGAGAUGUUGGGUUAAGUCCCGCAACGAGCGCAACCCUCGUUCUGUGUUGCCAGCAUUUAGUUGGGGACUCACAGGAGACUGCCGGGGUCAACUCGGAGGAAGGUAAU
Molecule: ribosomal RNA, 621 nt
Filed under: uncultured Actinomycetes bacterium
Lineage: Bacteria; Bacillati; Actinomycetota; Actinomycetes
Description: bacterial SSU rRNA
Rfam family: Bacterial small subunit ribosomal RNA
Source: RNAcentral